Molecule: non-coding RNA, 546 nt
Organism: Pogona vitticeps (central bearded dragon)
Lineage: Eukaryota; Metazoa; Chordata; Lepidosauria; Squamata; Agamidae
Source: RefSeq, a predicted model, not a curated record
AUAUCAUUCUAGUAGGAAUUAUUUCUAAGUUAAUGUGUUUACUUAAUUUAUACUCUACCUUUCCACAAAAAGGCACCCAAGGUCAAAUGCUGGGAACUAUGAGCAAUGACUGGAAUACAAUCAGACUGAAAACUACCGGUUGAAUAAUGCUUGACAGGAUAAUAUUUGAAUGAUUACACUGAAAGAUAAACAACUUUUUUCUUGAACUUGAGGAAAACUUUUCCACAGAAAUGCUAUUGGAACCUAUUCAGCUUUCCAGAACUCAGAAGGAAUCUUUUCACACAUUAAAAGCUGUCAUUUUGAGGAAAUGCAAAUAUAUAAAAGUACAGAUUGACUACAGUUGUUGACACCCUAUCUUUGCCAUCUUCUUCUACUGCCUGAAAUGGAUAGAAUUAUAAGAAAAAUUGGUUCAUAUUGAAGCCAGUAAAUUACGUGUUAGUAGGCUCAGCACUGGCAGGCUCUUUGGAGCCUUGUUAGUACUCCUGCCUCUAGUCAACUUGAUGCAACAUGCAGUAUUCCCAUGCCAAGAAGAGUGCACAUUUAGAC